GUUGAAUGAGCUGGUGGUGGGAGACACUAGUGGGAAGCUGUGCAUCUAUAAAAACGAUGACUGUGAUCACGAGGACAUGUGUGGGCAUGUUAACGUGUUGAAGUGGGAGAUGUUUGCAACAAAGGAAGGAUUUGCUUUUGUGCACAUGUAAGACGGAGACGGGCGCUUGUCCUUGU
This is a long non-coding RNA of Cyprinus carpio (common carp), 176 nucleotides long. RefSeq lists it as uncharacterized. The transcript is spliced from 3 exons. The record is from RefSeq and is a predicted model, not a curated record. Lineage: Eukaryota; Metazoa; Chordata; Actinopteri; Cypriniformes; Cyprinidae.